RNAcentral lists this small nuclear RNA (97 nucleotides) under Saimiri boliviensis boliviensis (Bolivian squirrel monkey). Lineage: Eukaryota; Metazoa; Chordata; Mammalia; Primates; Cebidae. The record is from RNAcentral.
GUGCUUGCUUUGGCAACACAUGUACUAAAAUUGGAACGAUACAGAGGAGAUUAGCAUGGCCCCUGUGUAAGGAUGACACGCAAAUUCAUAUUUUUUU